This 1435-nucleotide ribosomal RNA is filed under the name metagenome. RNAcentral describes it as "bacterial SSU rRNA". It matches the Rfam family "Bacterial small subunit ribosomal RNA". The record is from RNAcentral.
CGAGCGCGAAAGGCUUUCGGGCUGAGUAGAGCGGCGGACGGGUGAGUAACGCGUAGGAAUCUACCUGGUAGUGGGGGACAACUUGGGGAAACUCAAGCUAAUACCGCAUACGCCCUAAGGGGGAAAGCGGGGGACCUUCGGGCCUCGCGCUAUCAGAUGAGCCUGCGUAGGAUUAGCUAGUUGGUGAGGUAAAGGCUCACCAAGGCGACGAUCCUUAGCUGGUCUGAGAGGAUGAUCAGCCACACUGGGACUGAGACACGGCCCAGACUCCUACGGGAGGCAGCAGUGGGGAAUAUUGCGCAAUGGGGGCAACCCUGACGCAGCCAUGCCGCGUGUGUGAAGAAGGCCUUCGGGUUGUAAAGCACUUUAAGUGGAGAAAAGGGUAGGCGUUAAUAGCGUUUACCUGUGAUGUUACCCACAGAAUAAGCACCGGCUAACUCCGUGCCAGCAGCCGCGGUAAUACGGAGGGUGCGAGCGUUAAUCGGAAUUACUGGGCGUAAAGCGCGCAUAGGCGGUUUGUUAAGUCAGCUGUGAAAGCCCCGGGCUCAACCUGGGAACUGCAGUUGAUACUGGCCGACUAGAGUACGAGAGAGGGAGGUAGAAUUCCAUGUGUAGCGGUGAAAUGCGUAGAUAUAUGGAGGAAUACCGGUGGCGAAGGCGGCCUCCUGGCUCGAUACUGACGCUGAGGUGCGAAAGCGUGGGGAUCAAACAGGAUUAGAUACCCUGGUAGUCCACGCCGUAAACGAUGUCUACUAGCCGUUGGGAGACUUGAUUUCUUAGUGGCGCAGCUAACGCAAUAAGUAGACCGCCUGGGGAGUACGGCCGCAAGGUUAAAACUCAAAUGAAUUGACGGGGGCCCGCACAAGCGGUGGAGCAUGUGGUUUAAUUCGAUGCAACGCGAAGAACCUUACCAGGUCUUGACAUCCUCGGAACUUGGCAGAGAUGCCUUGGUGCCUUCGGGAACCGAGAGACAGGUGCUGCAUGGCUGUCGUCAGCUCGUGUCGUGAGAUGUUGGGUUAAGUCCCGUAACGAGCGCAACCCUUGUCCUUAGUUGCCAGCACGUAAUGGUGGGAACUCUAAGGAGACUGCCGGUGACAAACCGGAGGAAGGUGGGGACGACGUCAAGUCAUCAUGGCCCUUACGACCUGGGCUACACACGUGCUACAAUGGAGCGCACAGAGGGCAGCAAAAGCGCGAGCUGGAGCCAAUCCCACAAAACGUCUCGUAGUCCGGAUCGGGGUCUGCAACUCGACUCCGUGAAGUCGGAAUCGCUAGUAAUCGUGGAUCAGAAUGCCACGGUGAAUACGUUCCCGGGCCUUGUACACACCGCCCGUCACACCAUGGGAGUGGGUUGCUCCAGAAGUGGUUAGCCUAACCUUCGGGAGGGCGAUCACCACGGAGUGAUUCAUGACUGGGGUGAAGUCGUAACAAGGUA